This 581-nucleotide ribosomal RNA is filed under the name uncultured bacterium. Its description in RNAcentral is "partial 16S ribosomal RNA". It matches the Rfam family "Bacterial small subunit ribosomal RNA", at positions 355 to 937 of the family's 1533-position model. The record is from RNAcentral.
UGGGGAAUUUUGGACAAUGGGGCAACCUGAUCCAGCAAUGCCGCGUGUGUGAAGAAGGCCUUCGGGUUGUAAAGCACUUUUGUCCGGAAAGAAAUCCUUGGCUCUAAUACAGUCGGGGGAUGACGGUACCGGAAGAAUAAGCACCGGCUAACUACGUGCCAGCAGCCGCGGUAAUACGUAGGGUGCAAGCGUUAAUCGGAAUUACUGGGCGUAAAGCGUGCGCAGGCGGUUUGCUAAGACCGAUGUGAAAUCCCCGGGCUCAACCUGGGAACUGCAUUGGUGACUGGCAGGCUAGAGUAUGGCAGGAGGGGGGUAGAAUUCCACGUGUAGCAGUGAAAUGCGUAGAGAUGUGGAGGAAUACCGAUGGCGAAGGCAGCCCCCUGGGCAAUACUGACGCUCAUGCACGAAAGCGUGGGGAGCAAACAGGAUUAGAUACCCUGGUAGUCCACGCCCUAAACGAUGUCAACUAGUUGUUGGGGAUUCAUUUCCUUAGUAACGUAGCUAACGCGUGAAGUUGACCGCCUGGGGAGUACGGUCGCAAGAUUAAAACUCAAUGAAUUGACGGGGUCAUAGCUGUUUCC